GGAUUUCAAGAACACCUUGAAUCCAUUGUUCUAAGUAGGGCAAGUGGUAAAAACCUGACACAGGAACUGUAGUCUUAUGUACACAAAAUACCCUCUCCUCUGAAAGAUUCUAAAAUAGAAUUUGGAAUGACCCCAUGAUCAAAUCGUGAUACGGGCUUUACUGAAUCCCAUCCAUAAAAAAUGCAGUGAACAUAUGAAUUGUCAACCAUCUGUUAAUAUCUGUAACCCGAAGAUCCAGACUGUGGGGGUGCAGGCGGCAACCGAUUAGGAGUACGACGGCCGCUCGAGUUUGAACUGGUGUUUAGAUCACCAUUCUGUGCUGAGUCAUUGUAACGCCGAUUGUGACCAUUAGAUGAAGAUCUGGAUGAUCUAGAUGAAACAUAGUCCACAGAACCAUUGGCAGCUGCAUCAAAU
Molecule: unclassified non-coding RNA, 414 nt
Filed under: Hevea brasiliensis (rubber tree)
Lineage: Eukaryota; Viridiplantae; Streptophyta; Magnoliopsida; Malpighiales; Euphorbiaceae
Source: RNAcentral